Long non-coding RNA from Aethalodelphis obliquidens (Pacific white-sided dolphin), 875 nucleotides. RefSeq lists it as uncharacterized. The transcript is spliced from 3 exons. The record is from RefSeq and is a predicted model, not a curated record. NCBI's taxonomy places the organism in Eukaryota, Metazoa, Chordata, Mammalia, Artiodactyla, Delphinidae.
AAGUGAUGAUAGGCACUUUCACCCCAUAGAGACCAUCCAGUCUUCAUAUGCUUAGGUAAGUGAUAUUUGUUCCUGUUUUGCCAUGGCAUUUUGAGGGCUAGGUUUUCAGGUAAGAAUUGAUAGUGUCUCACCAAUUCUGGAAGCCAUGUAAUCCUCCUGUUCUUUAUUUUAUAAAAAAUUUAUGUUUGUGUAAUUGUUGAGAGACUUGCAGAUAUCCAGGUAAUUCUUAUACAGCUGCGUGUCACAGUAGUAAUCAUGGUUUUCUUUUGCAGGUGAGCAUCCAAGGGGUAAUGCUGUGUCUAGCAAUGGCCUAGAUCUUGGAGUUACUGCAAGAUUCCAGGUAGAUUUGAUGAAUCCUGCAAGAGUGGUGGUGACAGGGUUAUCUUCAGGGUCCAGGUAGUAAAGGUGGGUCCAUAGACACAUUCGUCACAAUGCGUUUUCCAGUUUCCUGUUGAGAGGUCAUGAUGAACCUCAUAAUGAUAUGAAAGGGACAUGGCUUGCAUCCAGAUAAGUGAUAAGGUGGGCCUUUUGCACACAACAGACCAUCUGAUCUUCAGAUAUCUAGGGAAGUGUAGAUAUUGUUCCUAACUGUUGUGUUACCAUCCUUUUUUGCAGGUAUUCAGGUAAGAAAUGUUGUCCCAACCAAUGCUAGUAAGCAUUAGCCCUUAUGAUUUUAGAGAUUAAAUAUAACGUGUGUUUUUCCUUAGGAAUGACAGAAGGAUAUGUAGGUAUCCAGGAGAAGCCAUAUCAGGAGAAGAUCAGAUGCCCAGUCAAACUCUGCCUAAAGCAAAGCACUGUAUCCCCCACCUAGCCAACCUGAAGAUCCAAAAGGCACAGGCUCCGGACGCGCAGGCUCAGCGGCCAUGGCUCACGGG